Molecule: microRNA precursor, 145 nt
Organism: Gossypium arboreum
Lineage: Eukaryota; Viridiplantae; Streptophyta; Magnoliopsida; Malvales; Malvaceae
Rfam family: MIR7502 microRNA precursor family
Source: Rfam
AGUUAAAAAUUUUAUCCAUUUGUAUUAUUAAAAACUGACCUAGCUGACAAAAAAACAAACAGUAACAUGUGAUGAUGUUCUACAUGUACUUUAUGCUGACAUACAAGAACCCUUUUAACAGUAUGAAUAGAUGAAACUUUUAACA